GAUAAACUGGCCAGAAUGUAUAUAGAUUAAUAUUAUGAAGUGAUUAAUAUUAUGUUGUUUUUCGAAAAUUUGACGAAUUUAAUUUCACUUAUGGACAAAAUUUUUAAUGCCAUCGGAUAGAAUACCAAGCAUAUGAGUAAAGAGUUUCCUAUUAGAAUGGUCAACGGAUUUGAUAGAAGC
Xenia sp. Carnegie-2017 is the source of this 180-nucleotide long non-coding RNA. RefSeq lists it as uncharacterized. NCBI's taxonomy places the organism in Eukaryota, Metazoa, Cnidaria, Anthozoa, Malacalcyonacea, Xeniidae. The record is from RefSeq and is a predicted model, not a curated record. The transcript has 2 exons.